This 302-nucleotide ribosomal RNA is filed under the name uncultured bacterium. RNAcentral describes it as "partial 16S ribosomal RNA". It matches the Rfam family "Bacterial small subunit ribosomal RNA", at positions 508 to 807 of the family's 1533-position model. The record is from RNAcentral.
GCAGUAGCCGCGGGAAUACAGAGGGUGCGAGCGUUAAUCGGAUUUACUGGGCGUAAAGCGUGCGUAGGCGGCUUCUUAAGUCGGAUGUGAAAUCCCUGAGCUUAACUUAGGAAUUGCAUUCGAUACUGGGAAGCUAGAGUAUGGGAGAGGAUGGUAGAAUUCCAGGUGUAGCGGUGAAAUGCGUAGAGAUCUGGAGGAAUACCGAUGGCGAAGGCAGCCAUCUGGCCUAAUACUGACGCUGAGGUACGAAAGCAUGGGGAGCAAACAGGAUUAGAUACCCGUGUAGUCCCUGUCUCUUAUAC